This 678-nucleotide long non-coding RNA is filed under the name Coturnix japonica (Japanese quail). RNAcentral's name for it is "lncRNA (ENSCJPG00005019914.1)". The record is from RNAcentral. Lineage: Eukaryota; Metazoa; Chordata; Aves; Galliformes; Phasianidae.
UUUUAGUCAAGUUCUGUCUAACUGUCAUGCUCCUUAAAUGCUAGCUAUCAAUGCAAUACAUUUUGCAGCAUUUUGUGCUUCGAGAUUCCUGAGUGGAUGGGUUGAUCUGUAAUUGCUGGCAUUCUGACAACACUUAAGAGAUGCUCUCAGGAUCAACAUAAAGAGCUCUUAUCUGGGAGACAGCCAUUUAAGAGUACAUGUUUUCCUUCAUGAAAUAGCGCUGAAAGUACUUUCCAACUUCUCGUGGCAAAUACUGAACAAAACUGUAACCUCACUCAGCAGAAGAUGGACACUAUCAUCUACAGUGCAGAUGUUUGGUGCUUCUUUCCACUCAUGAGGAGAGACUGCCAGUGAAGGCAGACCAGGAGGUGAGCACACUCUCUGGGUCUGGUUGCAGUGCCCACAGAAUGGUCUCCGGGUAGCAAUAAUCUGGCUUAUGAUAUUGUGAUAAUUAUUCCUUGUGGUUUCUUGUGGUUUCUCUGUACACAGAGUAAGAUGAUAGCUUAUCACUUAGUCAAGCAAACUACUGGAAAAAAAACUGUAAUGGUGGUCUGGCAGAAAUGCAGAAUGUUUCAAAUGACUUCACAUGCCUGUUUGAAUGAAAUACAGCAAGUACACAUUCAGCUGCUUUCAAAGACAGCUUCCAUGAGGCUUCCAGUGGGACUGACUGCAGCCAGG